GUCCCUGUGGUGAAACGGAUAUCACAUUUGCCUUCGAAGCAAAAAGUGGGGGUUCAAUUCCCUCCAGGGACA
This 72-nucleotide transfer RNA is filed under the name bacterium. RNAcentral's name for it is "tRNA-Arg". It matches the Rfam family "tRNA". Rfam says of the family: Transfer RNA (tRNA) molecules are approximately 80 nucleotides in length. Their secondary structure includes four short double-helical elements and three loops (D, anti-codon, and T loops). The record is from RNAcentral.